UUCUGAGUCUAUGAGCUAAGUUGAACUUCUGUGUUUACAACUCGGACUUUUUCUAUGCUAGACUCUUCUACUUAUUGGUAUGACAGUUCUUCAUGCUUGGGUGUGGCUGUAUGUUCUAUGUGUGUAAUGAAUUCUUUCUUUCAAAAAGGUUUUCCAACUUAGGAUUGAUUCAGAAUCCUUUUCUGUAGGUUUAAUUGAUUGUUACUCAUUUUUCUUUAAGUAAAACCCUUCUCCACCUUUUCUGACUGGAUUCAUCCAUACCAAAUUCAAACCUUGGGAUUUUUUGGCUGUUCCAUCGAUUUCCUUUCCUUAUUUGCACAAACCGAGUGUUGUCAAGACUUUUCCUUAAAUAUACCUCUAUGUGUUUACCCCUUUUGUACUGCUUUGAAAAGAUGUUUGACUGGUCUCUUUCCUUAAUUACUUUUAUCCAUUUGAAAUAAGAAUCUCUUAAUUAAAGGGAGACCUUGUGAAAUUGAUUUUAAAACUAUUCUCCUACCUAUUUCUGCUUGAUUUCUGCACUAUAAAUACAUGGCCUUCUUUAACAAAUUAUACACAGUUAAUACGACCAACUUUCACUCAUACUUUAUCCAUUCAACACUUUUACGCUACUCAAGUAUCAUAAUUCUCUGAACAUAGCAUUCUGACUAUUUGUUUGCACUUUUGCUUCAUAAGACUAUUGCUUUCUUCUUUUGUUUCCCUGAAACUGGUAUGUUCUACUUUAGUUUUCAGCCUCAUCCCAAUGUGUUUAUUUUAUAGCUUCCACGAUCCUAUUUACUUUGUUAUCUAUGCUUAGUGUUAAAUGUGUAUGUUGUUCUCUUUGCACUUGUUUCUGCUGUGAAUCCUUGUACCCCUAUUCCCCUAUAUGUUUUGAGUUAAAGUUCAAAACAUGGAAACAUCCAAAUUGAUUCUUAGGUCUGAACUUGAUCCUUUAAGGGGUACUAACUCCUAAAAAAAUAUGGCUAACAGGUUGGUUGGGGUGUGCCAACACCUCCAAUUGCUGGGUGUGACCACCAGCCUGUCUUGGCUUUCCCCAUAAUCCCCUCUCUUGCACUCACACUCUCUCCUAGCUUCUAAGUUCUGCCCCCCUCUUAUGAGCCUUGUUUUGGGACCUUGAGUUCCAUCUGAACUUGGACAUUUCAGGUUUGGCCCUUCCACACUACACUGUAAUUCAAUUCUGUAACGACUUUGGGUGUAUGCUCGGAGUCCAUGCGAUCUUGGGAAAUUUGACACACCCAAAAAUGAGAAAGGCUUUGAAAAUGUGAUCUUUGGAUUGAUUUGCUUCAUGCUUUAGACAGAAGACUCAAUAAGACUCUCC
Molecule: long non-coding RNA, 1315 nt
Filed under: Nicotiana benthamiana
Lineage: Eukaryota; Viridiplantae; Streptophyta; Magnoliopsida; Solanales; Solanaceae
Description: long non-coding RNA (NBEN_LNC034032)
Source: RNAcentral